Molecule: ribosomal RNA, 515 nt
Filed under: uncultured bacterium
Lineage: Bacteria
Description: bacterial SSU rRNA
Rfam family: Bacterial small subunit ribosomal RNA
Source: RNAcentral
AGAGUUUGAUUAUGGCUCAGGAUGAACGCUGGCGGCGUGCCUAACACAUGCAAGUCGAACGGGGUUAUGACGCUGAGGAGACUUCGGUCAAAUCUUGUUGUAACUUAGUGGCGGACGGGUGAGUAACGCGUGGAUAACCUGCCAUACGACAGGGGGAUAACAGUUAGAAAUGACUGCUAAUACCGCAUAAGCGCACGAAGGGGCAUCCUUUAGUGUGAAAAGCGAAUACGGUGUAUGAUGGGUCCGCGUCCGAUUAGCCAGUUGGCGGGGUAAGAGCCCACCAAAGCGACGAUCGGUAGCCGGCCUGAGAGGGUGAACGGCCACAUUGGGACUGAGAGACGGCCCAAACUCCUACGGGAGGCAGCAGUGGGGGAUAUUGCACAAUGGGGGGAACCCUGAUGCAGCGAACCGCCGCGUGAGUGAAGAAGUUAUUCGUAAUGUAAAGCUCUAUCAGCAGGGAAGAAGCAGACGGUACCUGACUAAGAAGCACCGGCUAAAUACGUGCCAGCAGCAGC